CACGUAGGGUGCGAGCGUUGUCCGGAAUUAUUGGGCGUAAAGAGCUCGUAGGCGGUGUGUCGCGUCGGCCGUGAAAACCUGCAGCUUAACUGUGGGCUUGCGGUCGAUACGGGCAUCACUGGAGUUCGGCAGGGGAGACUGGAAUUCCUGGUGUAGCGGUGAAAUGCGCAGAUAUCAGGAGGAACACCGGUGGCGAAGGCGGGUCUCUGGGCCGAUACUGACGCUGAGGAGCGAAAGCGUGGGGGGCGAACAGG
This 254-nucleotide ribosomal RNA is filed under the name uncultured bacterium. RNAcentral describes it as "partial 16S ribosomal RNA". It matches the Rfam family "Bacterial small subunit ribosomal RNA", at positions 524 to 776 of the family's 1533-position model. The record is from RNAcentral.